AUUUUGGAAGUAAAAGUCGUAACAAGGUUUCCGUAGGUGAACCUGCGGAAGGAUCAUUACCGAGUGCGGGCUGCCUCCGGGCGCCCAACCUCCCACCCGUGACUACCUAACACUGUUGCUUCGGUGGGGAGCCCCCUAGGGGCGAGCCGCCGGGGGACCAUGAACUUCAUGCCUGAGAGUGAUGCAGUCUGAGCCUGAAUACAAAUCAGUCAAAACUUUCAACAAUGGAUCUCUUGGUUCCGGCAUCGAUGAAGAACGCAGCGAACUGCGAUAAGUAAUGUGAAUUGCAGAAUUCAGUGAAUCAUCGAGUCUUGAACGCACAUUGCGCCCCCUGGCAUUCCGGGGGGCAUGCCUGUCCGAGCGUCAUUGCUGCCCUCAAGCCCGGCUUGUGUGUUGGGUCGUCGUCCCCCCCGGGGGACGGGCCCGAAAGGCAGCGGCGGCACCGUGUCCGGUCCUCGAGCGUAUGGGGCUUUGUCACCCGCUCGAUUAGGGCCGGCCGGGCGCCAGCCGGCGUCUCCAACCUUAUUUUUCUCAGGUUGACCUCGGAUCAGGUAGGGAUACCCGCUGAACUUA
This 573-nucleotide ribosomal RNA is filed under the name Aspergillus nidulans. Its description in RNAcentral is "partial 18S ribosomal RNA". The stretch from base 214 to 366 matches the Rfam family "5.8S ribosomal RNA". Lineage: Eukaryota; Fungi; Ascomycota; Eurotiomycetes; Eurotiales; Aspergillaceae. The record is from RNAcentral.